This 71-nucleotide transfer RNA is filed under the name Pleodorina starrii. RNAcentral's name for it is "tRNA-Trp". It matches the Rfam family "tRNA". Rfam says of the family: Transfer RNA (tRNA) molecules are approximately 80 nucleotides in length. Their secondary structure includes four short double-helical elements and three loops (D, anti-codon, and T loops). Further hydrogen bonds mediate the characteristic L-shaped molecular structure. tRNAs have two regions of fundamental functional importance: the anti-codon, which is responsible for specific mRNA codon recognition, and the 3' end, to which the tRNAs corresponding amino acid is attached (by aminoacyl-tRNA synthetases). tRNAs cope with the degeneracy of the genetic code in two manners: having more than one tRNA (with a specific anti-codon) for a particular amino acid; and 'wobble' base-pairing, i.e. permitting non-standard base-pairing at the 3rd anti-codon position. The record is from RNAcentral. Lineage: Eukaryota; Viridiplantae; Chlorophyta; Chlorophyceae; Chlamydomonadales; Volvocaceae.
GGCUCCAUGACCCCAUGGUGGGGCAGUGGAUUCCAAAUCCGAAGGUUGUGGGUUCAAGUCCCAUUGGGUCA